Molecule: long non-coding RNA, 964 nt
Organism: Chrysemys picta bellii (western painted turtle)
Lineage: Eukaryota; Metazoa; Chordata; Testudines; Emydidae
Source: RefSeq, a predicted model, not a curated record
GUGGCUGUCCUGUUGGCAGUUGCAACUAAACAUGGCUAAAACUAAGAUCCUGAAUUUAUCUCCCACGCUUUUCUCUCUUCCCUCAUUCUUGAUAAUUUACUAUCCCUUCUGUUGCUUACACACAGAGUCUGAGCACUGAAAACAGAUCAUCGAUGAAAGCCUGGUCCUGAUCCCUGCAGAACUCUAUAGAAACUCCCACAUGCAGUGAUAAUGCUCCAUUGACAACUACUUUCGGAGAUCGAUGGUAAUUACAUUGAAGGUACAGUCUGAUCAGUUGGGAGAACAAGACCACAAGAGACUUCAAAUGGUCAUGCACUGACAGAUGAGACAAUAUAGACUGGAGCAAUAAAAAAUAUUUGCAAAACAAAUGAAAGAUCACAUCUCUCCAUGAUGACCCCUCUGUUGUAAAUAUAGAAAAAGAGGCAAGGGUUAAAGCAUUAUCUAAAAAGCAAUUUGGCAAGAAGAACAUAUGGCCAAGUAGGUAGGUGUUAAACACACAGAGAGAUAAUUGUAAAUUGUCUCAUGCUGCAUCCCUGCUUCUGCCCCUUUGGGCGCCUUUCAUCUCUAUAGGUCAUGUCAGCACCAGCCUUGAGCUGCGAGCAGUGCAGAGUCUUCCCACCACAUGAAGCAUUGGGGAGCAUCCUGCUCUAGGGAGGUAGAAAGGCACUCAGAGGUCACAGGUGUGCAGCGGGGGUGUCAAUUUGUUAGUCUCUAAAAUGCCACAAGUACUCCUGUUCUUUUUGUGUAUACCCACUGAUAUACCCCUUCCCCAAAUUUGGGGUGGUUGGAUCCAGGGUUUUUGGUUUGGGACCAUAUCUAUGCACAGCCACGAUGUAAGAUCCUCCUCUGUUCUGAGGCCUCUGAACAAGCAUUAUAGUGUGGAUUAAAGAUAGAAUGUUCGCUUGGAUCCUACAGUCCCUUGGAUCUGUGAGGAAUUUAGGUCCAAAAAUGUAGCUUCUGUAAA